UACGUAGGGGGCUAGCGUUGUCCGGAAUCAUUGGGCGUAAAGCGCGUGUAGGCGGCCCGGUAAGUCCGCUGUGAAAGUCGGGGGCUCAACCCUCAGAUGCCGGUGGAUACUGUCGGGCUCGAGUACGGAAGAGGCGAGUGGAAUUCCUGGUGUAGCGGUGAAAUGCGCAGAUAUCAGGAGGAACACCGAUUGCGAAGGCAGCUCGCUGGGACGUGACUGACGCUGAGACGCGAAGGCGUGGGGAGCAAACAGG
This 253-nucleotide ribosomal RNA is filed under the name uncultured bacterium. Its description in RNAcentral is "partial 16S ribosomal RNA". It matches the Rfam family "Bacterial small subunit ribosomal RNA", at positions 524 to 776 of the family's 1533-position model. The record is from RNAcentral.